This 468-nucleotide ribosomal RNA is filed under the name uncultured bacterium. RNAcentral's name for it is "partial 16S ribosomal RNA". It matches the Rfam family "Bacterial small subunit ribosomal RNA", at positions 28 to 507 of the family's 1533-position model. The record is from RNAcentral.
GACGAACGCUGGCGGCGUGCUUAACACAUGCAAGUCGAACGGAAAGGCCCUGCUUUUGUGGGGUGCUCGAGUGGCGAACGGGUGAGUAACACGUGAGUAACCUGCCCUUGACUUUGGGAUAACUUCAGGAAACUGGGGCUAAUACCGGAUAGGAGCUCCUGCUGCAUGGUGGGGGUUGGAAAGUUUCGGCGGUUGGGGAUGGACUCGCGGCUUAUCAGCUUGUUGGUGGGGUAGUGGCUUACCAAGGCUUUGACGGGUAGCCGGCCUGAGAGGGUGACCGGCGACAAGGGGAAUAAGAGACGGACCAGAGGGCUACGGGAGGCAGCAGUGGGGAAUAUUGCACAAGGGGCGGAAGACUGAUGCAGCAACGCCGCGAGCGGGAUGAAGGCCGUCGGGGGGUAAACCGCUGUCGCCGGAGACGAAGCGUGAGUGACGGUAAUGGGUAAAGAAGCACCGGCUAACUACGUG